AGAGCGAACGCUGGCGGCAGGCUUAACACAUGCAAGUCGAGCGCUCGUAGCAAUACGAGAGCGGCAGACGGGAGAGUAACACGUGGGAACGUACCCUUUGGUUCGGAACAACACAGGGAAACUUGUGCUAAUACCGGAUAAGCCCUUACGGGGAAAGAUUUAUCGCCAAAGGAUCGGCCCGCGUCUGAUUAGCUAGUUGGUGGGGUAACGGCCCACAAGGCGACGAUCAGUAGCUGGUCUGAGAGGAUGACCAGCCUCAUUGGGACUGAGACACGGCCCAAACUCCUACGGGAGGCAGCAGUGGGGAAUAUUGGACAAUGGGCGCAAGCCUGAUCCAGCCAUGCCGCGUGGAUGAUGAAGGCCUUAGGGUUGUAAAGUCCUUUUAACGGGGAGAUAAUGACGGUACCGUAGAAUAAGCCCGGCUAACUACGUGCCAGCAGCCGC
RNAcentral lists this ribosomal RNA (444 nucleotides) under uncultured bacterium. Its description in RNAcentral is "SSU rRNA". It matches the Rfam family "Bacterial small subunit ribosomal RNA", at positions 26 to 518 of the family's 1533-position model. The record is from RNAcentral.